This 26-nucleotide non-coding RNA is filed under the name Homo sapiens (human). The record is from RNAcentral. Lineage: Eukaryota; Metazoa; Chordata; Mammalia; Primates; Hominidae.
UGAUGAUUGAUGACCUCCUGACUCCA